This 112-nucleotide non-coding RNA is filed under the name Geobacillus sp. RNAcentral describes it as "SAM-I sequence". It matches the Rfam family "SAM riboswitch aptamer (S box leader)". Rfam says of the family: The SAM riboswitch is found upstream of a number of genes which code for proteins involved in methionine or cysteine biosynthesis in Gram-positive bacteria. The SAM riboswitch acts at the level of transcription termination control. The record is from RNAcentral. Lineage: Bacteria; Bacillati; Bacillota; Bacilli; Caryophanales; Anoxybacillaceae.
UUCUUAUCAAGAGAAGUGGAGGGAACUGGCCCUAUGAAACUUCAGCAACCAGCCAUUAAUUGGCCAGGUGCUAAAUCCAGCGAAUUGAAUCUUUCAAUUCGGCAGAUAAGAA